Molecule: non-coding RNA, 343 nt
Organism: Odocoileus virginianus texanus
Lineage: Eukaryota; Metazoa; Chordata; Mammalia; Artiodactyla; Cervidae
Source: RefSeq, a predicted model, not a curated record
CUCCCCAGCUCCUCACCGGAGGCUCCCGGCGCGCCUUCGGGACUGGGCUCCGACAGACCAGCAGAGCGGUCUCGAUGUUUUUAAAGGAGCCCUCCCCAGGUGGGCUUGAUCUCCCUCCAGCUGUUAUCUCUCAGCGCUCCUUUGUUGAGCGUUGGGACACUCCACCUGUGUGCAGCAGAGAAAACCUGAAGGCUCUUGGGUGCUCCCCAAGCGGGAUCCUCUAGGACUUUCUCAGUAUGGAGCCUGGAAAUCUGAGUUUUAAACAGCACACAGGUGGCCUUCUGGCACACGGAAGUUUGAGAAGCACUGUUGAGCCACACCUACCGGAGAAGAUGCCACAAAA